AAUGAUAGAUUCAAUAAUAAUUCUAGUUUCAAACUUGGAUCUACAAAGUAAGUCAUUAAAGUGUUGGUGCUGGUGAGAAUGGUGUAGGAUUGAUACGGUGGGUGGAUUGUAGAGGUAAGCCAAAAGACCGAAUUGAAUUUGGAAUUAUGGGUAUUUGGCUUUUGGUUAUGAUUUCUACUCAGAUACCGAUUUACCGUGAAUAGAUUUGGGUUUUAAUUUUGUGGAAGUGGCUCCAAUUCUACCUUCCAAUCAAAUUGUGGGCAAAGAAGAAAUGAAGAGGCUGUUUGGUGGUUGUUUUCUUUUGGGAACUUCAAGUAAUUAUUUAAGCUUAAUCAAAAUAAUUUCAGCUCCAGAAGGAAAAAUUAAAAUUAAGAAGGCCAAGCAAAGCAAGAACUAGUUAAGAUCGAUGCUGAUUCUUAUUUUCCAGGAGAGUUGUCGAAUCCCGUCAUUCCUAAAGGGUCGCCUGAAAUUCUUUGCAGGCAUCGUCCAUGCGAUGUGACGGCAUCUUGUCUCUUUGUGCAAUAAUUUACACAAUCCUUGGGGGAUUCUGGGACUUCUGAAGUCCUGUGACGUUUGAUUUGAGUAUUUAAUUAUUAAAAUGCAAUGGUUUCAGUCAUGUGAUUGUUAUAGAAAUUGUAAAUUAUGUUCGAGGGAAGUUGGCCUAACACCUGAUAGCGGGCCCAAUUGGGUGAAGCACCUAUACUAGAUUGUAAUUUAGGUCAUCAAUGGCCCAAAUAUAAAGAUCCAAAUCCCCUUUACUCUC
Long non-coding RNA from Mangifera indica (mango), 763 nucleotides. RefSeq lists it as uncharacterized. NCBI's taxonomy places the organism in Eukaryota, Viridiplantae, Streptophyta, Magnoliopsida, Sapindales, Anacardiaceae. The transcript has 3 exons. The record is from RefSeq and is a predicted model, not a curated record.